Long non-coding RNA from Tyto alba (common barn owl), 1182 nucleotides. RefSeq lists it as uncharacterized. NCBI's taxonomy places the organism in Eukaryota, Metazoa, Chordata, Aves, Strigiformes, Tytonidae. The record is from RefSeq and is a predicted model, not a curated record. The transcript has 2 exons.
UCAUCUAGUCCCUGAAAAGGAAUAUUAACUUUAUUUCAGCCCAAACUAAGACAGGGGAUUACAACAUAUUACUGGCAUUCCACAAUCUCCGACAGGCCAGGCAAUUAUAGAACGUACACAUCAAACGUUAAAACAUUAUUUGCAAAAACAAAACCAAGGGGAAUUUGGAGAGACACCAGGAAGCAGAUUAAUGAAAGUACAGUAUGUCAUGAACUUUUUAUGAUUAGCAGGGAAAGACACUAUUCCUCCCAUUGUGAAACAUAUGCAAGCUAUGUCAACAGGAAUGUCAACAUAUAAAGAACAAAUUAAGGUGUUAGUGAAAAACAAGGAAGGAAUAUGGGAAGGACCGUUUCAAUUAGUAACAUGGGGAAGAGGUUAUGCUUGUGUCAUUACAGAUAGUGGACCUACGUGGAUCCAGGCAAAAUGGGUGAAACCGGCAGUAGAAAAGGAACCUUCGUCAGAUGGAUCAUCUUUGGAGCAGCAAUCACCGCGACAGAGACAGCAGGACCAUGGACCAUCCAAACAAGACAAAGCUUAUGGGUGUCUUUUGCAAACUUAACAGGGCAAACAUUGUGUCUGUCAUUAGCCACACCCGGAGAUCAAUUCAGAACAUGUCUUAUUGGGAAGGCGGUGAAGGACUUUAAAGAUUUUUGGGAUGUAUUCAAGGGAUGAUUCGACGACAAUAUCAACAACUGCAUGCCUUGGUUGUUGAAAGCAUAAAAGGGGGAAUUGUGGAGACAUUUUACAUCAGUGAAGGCCAUGAUGCUCUUGAAGGCUUUUGAAUAACAGAAAAAUAAGGGCUUUGAAUAACAGAAAAAUAAGGUAACAACAGACCUUGAAGGUUUGUGAAUAACAGAAAAACAGGGUUUCUGAAUAACAGAAAAAUAAAGUAACAACAGACCUUGAAGGUUUUGGAAUAUCAGGAGAAUAAGGUUUUGGAAUAACAGAAAAGUAAGAACAUUAUCAGUGAACAACAGAGGACUUUGGAAGAACGCCCGGAGCAAAAGAGUUAUUGUGACAAAGGAAAAAAAAGACAUGUGUAGUUAAGCUAGCCAAUCAAAUGUUAGAACAGGUGUGUGAGUAAUGUAUGUUAACCAAUAAGAAUUUAUGUUGGGGGGAUUGACAACUUUGUAGGGGGAUAAAAACGCAGCUUUCUGAAUAACAAAGGGUCUUCGAUCUUAA